UCCCCCAGGGAAUGGGCAAAGAGACACCUCUUUGGCGAUGUCGUUCUUCUAUCAGUCAGGGGCGGAGCAGAUGGAAGUCCUUCGUUUAUCCUAGCUUGAUGCCUGGUCUGGUGGCCGGAAACAUUUUAUGGCGAGGACUCACAG
Rattus norvegicus (Norway rat) is the source of this 144-nucleotide small nucleolar RNA. Ensembl annotates it as small nucleolar RNA SNORA48. The record is from Ensembl. Lineage: Eukaryota; Metazoa; Chordata; Mammalia; Rodentia; Muridae.